AAUGAUCCUUGUGACCUGGCAAAAACUCCUCCAAUCUACAAAAUCAAUCAAAAAAUCAGAUAGGGAUCCUCCGAUUCUUAUUCCUCCGAUGCUUAAGUCAGCUCGAGACUUAAAAAUAGAGAUGAAAAAGAGUGAAAAAGCAAGAGAGAUUGGAUGGAAUUGGGUGGAAGCUAAGAGUCUAGUCUAAUUUCCUACCGAUAGAGUCUCUCCUAAUUUCAAAGAACAGAACUUACCAAAGGAGGAUCCAUGAUCCUCUAUUUAUAGUGGAAUUGA
This 273-nucleotide long non-coding RNA is filed under the name Elaeis guineensis (African oil palm). Its description in RNAcentral is "long non-coding RNA (EGUI_LNC018903)". Lineage: Eukaryota; Viridiplantae; Streptophyta; Magnoliopsida; Arecales; Arecaceae. The record is from RNAcentral.